UGGUUCUGGCAUCGAUGAAGAACGCAGCGAAAUGCGAUAAGUAAUGCGAAUUGCAGAAUUCUACGAGUCAUCGAAUCUUUGAACGCACAUUGCGCCCGCUAGCAUUCUAGCGGGCAUGCCUGUCCGAGCGUCAUUUCAACCCUCGAACCUCCGGGUUUGGUGUUGGGGUCAUCUGCUGCCCAGGCGGCAGAGCUCCGAAAUACAGUGGCGGGCCCCUCGGUAUCCCGAACGUAGUAGUAUUUCUGUUCGUUCAGGGCGUGCCGACGGUGUUCAGCCGUUAAACCUACUAUAUUUACAAGGUUGACCUCGGAUCAGGUAGGAAUACCCGCUGA
This 332-nucleotide unclassified non-coding RNA is filed under the name uncultured fungus. RNAcentral describes it as "partial contains 5.8S ribosomal RNA and internal transcribed spacer 2". The stretch from base 1 to 133 matches the Rfam family "5.8S ribosomal RNA", at positions 22 to 154 of the family's 154-position model. The record is from RNAcentral. Lineage: Eukaryota; Fungi.